UGGGUGAUGCUGAUGGAGGCAGAUCUCCAAG
Molecule: non-coding RNA, 31 nt
Filed under: Rattus norvegicus (Norway rat)
Lineage: Eukaryota; Metazoa; Chordata; Mammalia; Rodentia; Muridae
Source: RNAcentral